AUACGGAGGGUGCGAGCGUUGUUCGGAUUUAUUGGGCGUAAAGCGCGUGUAGGCGGUUUUUAAGUCUGAUGUGAAAGCCCCGGGCUCAACCUGGGAAGUGCAUUGGAUACUGGAAGACUUGAGUACGGGAGAGGGUAGUGGAAUUCCUAGUGUAGGAGUGAAAUCCGUAGAUAUUAGGAGGAAUACCGGUGGCGAAGGCGGCCCCCUGGACAAAGACUGACGCUCAGGUGCGAAAGCGUGGGGAGC
Molecule: ribosomal RNA, 246 nt
Filed under: uncultured bacterium
Lineage: Bacteria
Description: partial 16S ribosomal RNA
Rfam family: Bacterial small subunit ribosomal RNA
Source: RNAcentral